This 449-nucleotide ribosomal RNA is filed under the name uncultured bacterium. RNAcentral describes it as "bacterial SSU rRNA". It matches the Rfam family "Bacterial small subunit ribosomal RNA", at positions 29 to 448 of the family's 1533-position model. The record is from RNAcentral.
AACGAACGCUGGCGGCGUGGAUAAGACAUGCAAGUCGAACGGGAUUUGUUGGGUAGCAAUACCUGGCAAGUUCAGUGGCGCAAGGGUGCGUAACACGUGGGCAAUCUGCCAAUUGGAAGUGGGGGAUAGCUCGCCGAAAGGCGAAUUAAUACCGCAUGUGGUUAAGAGAGGAGUCUCUCUGACACCAAAGCCGGGGAUCGCAGCGAUGCGACCUGGCGCUUCUUGAUGAGCCCGCGGCCUAUCAGCUUGUUGGUGAGGUAACGGCUCACCAAGGCGAUGACGGGUAGCUGGUCUGAGAGGACGACCAGUCACACUGGGACUGAGACACGGCCCAGACACCUACGGGUGGCAGCAGUCGAGAAUUUUUCUCAAUGGGGGAAACCCUGAAGGAGCGACGCCGCGUGGAGGAUGAAGGUCUUCGGAUUGUAAACUCCUGUCAUUUGGGAACA